GUAGUAUCAUAUACUCUUGCUUUAAAAACCGUUUUAUAAGCAUAGUGGGAGUAUUAUAUACAACUAAAACAAUUAUAUGGACCAAUAGUUGUAAUAGGACCAAAGUUGUUUUAAUAGAGAUUAAAAUAUAUGUUUAUGUGAUGAGACCUAAAACCCUCAACCAAACCAUUAUUAAGUUGAUAAGCGUGAGAGUGCUUUGAACAUUCUUUCGUAGGCCUUCCACCGUGGUGGCUCCAAUCGUUUAUGACUUGUACACCGGCUUCACCCUAUCAUGGGGGAGUACAAAGUGCAUGCUUAUACUCAGGAGGAAUCCAUAAACAUAGGAUGAGGUGAGUGUAGGCAACGAGGAUGGCCGACAUCGAAUCAUCGUGAGGCUAUUCUUGAACCCCUUCACGAACUAAGCAUGGUGGGAAUGACUUAACUAAGUGCAAUGGAGCCAACAUCAUAUCAUUGUGAGGUGACAUUCUCUAGAGGCCAAAUAAGAUGGGUACUUGCAUUAGUUGCAAAUGAGUAAGCGUACUCUCUCAUUAUUAUUGUUGCUAGCCAAACAUCGUAUCAUCGUGAGGUAGGCUUGGUAAUAGUGAGUCUCCCAUAACCUACUAAGAGUUUCUUCCAAAACUCUCGAAUUCCAAUGAGGGAUAUGGAAUUUGCCAAAAAUAGUGGGUGGUGCUAUUUGAUUUAAAGA
RNAcentral lists this long non-coding RNA (685 nucleotides) under Malus domestica (apple). Its description in RNAcentral is "long non-coding RNA (MDOM_LNC013499)". The record is from RNAcentral. Lineage: Eukaryota; Viridiplantae; Streptophyta; Magnoliopsida; Rosales; Rosaceae.